UCGUUCCUACGGGACCAGCAGUCGGGAAUAUUGCGCAAUGGAGGAAACUCUGACGCAGUGACGCCGCGUGCAGGAAGAAGGUUUUCGGAUUGUAAACUGCUUUAGAUAGGGAAGAAAAAAAUGACAGUACCUAUAGAAUAAGCUCCGGCUAACUACGUGCCAGCAGCCGCGGUAAUACGUAUGGUGCAAGCGUUAUCCGGAUUUACUGGGUGUAAAGGGAGCGCAGGCGGUGCGGCAAGUCUGAUGUGAAAGCCCGGGGCUCAACCCCGGGACUGCAUUGGAAACUACCGAACUAGAGUGUCGGG
This 305-nucleotide ribosomal RNA is filed under the name uncultured bacterium. RNAcentral's name for it is "bacterial SSU rRNA". It matches the Rfam family "Bacterial small subunit ribosomal RNA", at positions 333 to 653 of the family's 1533-position model. The record is from RNAcentral.